RNAcentral lists this ribosomal RNA (252 nucleotides) under uncultured bacterium. Its description in RNAcentral is "partial 16S ribosomal RNA". It matches the Rfam family "Bacterial small subunit ribosomal RNA", at positions 524 to 776 of the family's 1533-position model. The record is from RNAcentral.
UACGUAGGGUGCAAGCGUUGUCCGGAAUUAUUGGGCGAAAGAGCUCGUAGGCGGUCUGUCACGUCGGCUGUGAAAUCCCGAGGCUCAACCUCGGGUCUGCAGUCGAUACGGGCAAACUAGAGUAUUGCAGGGGAGACUGGAAUUCCUGGUGUAGCGGUGAAAUGCGCAGAUAUCAGGAGGAACACCGGUGGCGAAGGCGGGUCUCUGGGCAAUAACUGACGCUGAGGAGCGAAAGCGUGGGGAGCGAACAGG